Molecule: ribosomal RNA, 252 nt
Filed under: uncultured bacterium
Lineage: Bacteria
Description: partial 16S ribosomal RNA
Rfam family: Bacterial small subunit ribosomal RNA
Source: RNAcentral
UACGUAUGGUGCAAGCGUUGUCCGGAAUUAUUGGGCGUAAAGAGUACGUAGGCGGUCUGUUAAGCGCAAGGUGAAAGGCAUAGGCUCAACCAAUGUGAGCCUUGCGAACUGGCAGACUUGAGUGCAGGAGAGGAAAGCGGAAUUCCUAGUGUAGCGGUGAAAUGCGUAGAUAUUAGGAGGAACACCGGUGGCGAAGGCGGCUUUCUGGACUGAAACUGACGCUGAGGUACGAAAGCGUGGGGAGCAAACAGG